CCAGACUCCUACGGGAGGCAGCAGUGGGGAAUAUUGCACAAUGGGGGAAACCCUGAUGCAGCAACGCCGCGUGAGUGAAGAAGUAUUUCGGUAUGUAAAGCUCUAUCAGCAGGGAAGAAAAUGACAGUACCUGACUAAGAAGCCCCGGCUAACUACGUGCCAGCAGCCGCGGUAAUACGUAGGGGGCAAGCGUUAUCCGGAUUUACUGGGUGUAAAGGGAGCGUAGACGGCUGCGCAAGUCAGAAGUGAAAGCCCGGGGCUCAACCGCGGGACUGCUUUUGAAACUGUGUAGCUAGAGUGCAGGAGAGGUAAGUGGAAUUCCUAGUGUAGCGGUGAAAUGCGUAGAUAUUAGGAGGAACACCAGUGGCGAAGGCGGCCUGCUGGACUGCAACUGACGUUGAGGCUCGAAGGCGUGGGGAGCAAACAGGAUUAGAUACCCCAGUA
This 444-nucleotide ribosomal RNA is filed under the name uncultured bacterium. Its description in RNAcentral is "bacterial SSU rRNA". It matches the Rfam family "Bacterial small subunit ribosomal RNA", at positions 331 to 792 of the family's 1533-position model. The record is from RNAcentral.